GUGGGGAAUAUUGGACAAUGGGCGCAAGCCUGAUCCAGCCAUGCCGCGUGAGUGAUGAAGGCCCUAGGGUUGUAAAGCUCUUUCACCGGAGAAGAUAAUGACGGUAUCCGGAGAAGAAGCCCCGGCUAACUUCGUGCCAGCAGCCGCGGUAAUACGAAGGGGGCUAGCGUUGUUCGGAAUUACUGGGCGUAAAGCGCACGUAGGCGGACAUUUAAGUCAGGGGUGAAAUCCCGGAGCUCAACUCCGGAACUGCCUUUGAUACUGGGUGUCUGGAGUAUGGAAGAGGUGAGUGGAAUUCCGAGUGUAGAGGUGAAAUUCGUAGAUAUUCGGAGGAACACCAGUGGCGAAGGCGGCUCACUGGUCCAUUACUGACGCUGAGGUGCGAAAGCGUGGGGAGCAAACAGGAUUAGAAACCCUAGUAGUCC
This 425-nucleotide ribosomal RNA is filed under the name uncultured bacterium. Its description in RNAcentral is "partial 16S ribosomal RNA". It matches the Rfam family "Bacterial small subunit ribosomal RNA", at positions 354 to 796 of the family's 1533-position model. The record is from RNAcentral.